GCGGGGGUGCCGGAGUGGCCAAACGGGCUGGGUUUAGGACCCAGUGGUUUAGUACCUACGAGGGUUCGAAUCCCUUCCCCCGCA
RNAcentral lists this transfer RNA (84 nucleotides) under Candidatus Woesearchaeota archaeon. RNAcentral describes it as "tRNA-Leu". It matches the Rfam family "tRNA". Rfam says of the family: Transfer RNA (tRNA) molecules are approximately 80 nucleotides in length. Their secondary structure includes four short double-helical elements and three loops (D, anti-codon, and T loops). The record is from RNAcentral. Lineage: Archaea; Nanobdellati; Candidatus Woesearchaeota.